AAUAUUAUAAUCCAAAUCAGUCUAUGCUGGAGUUAGUUUUUGCACCUGCAGAAGAAUGGAUCUCAUGCAGUGACUCAGAAAUCAUUGAUGCUACAAUCAGGGAACUGGCAAAACUCUUUCCUGAUGAAAUAUCUGCAGAUCAGAGCAAAGCAAAAAUUGUGAAGUAUCAUGUUGUUAAAACUCCAAGGUCUGUUUACAAGACUCUUCCAAAUUGUGAACCUUGCCGCCCCUUACAAAGAUCUCCUAUAGAGGGCUUCUAUUUAGCUGGCGACUACACAAAGCAAAAAUAUUUGGCUUCAAUGGAGGGAGCUGUCCUAUCUGGGAAGCUUUGUGCACAGGCUAUUGUACAGGUACUUGCUACUUAAACUUGGUUUAGCCAAGGUGAAAAAUCACACAUACACAUGCACACACAGGAAAAAAAAAAUGAAGAAGAAGAAGAAGAAGAAGAAGA
Molecule: unclassified non-coding RNA, 451 nt
Filed under: Hevea brasiliensis (rubber tree)
Lineage: Eukaryota; Viridiplantae; Streptophyta; Magnoliopsida; Malpighiales; Euphorbiaceae
Source: RNAcentral